Molecule: small RNA, 16 nt
Filed under: Arabidopsis thaliana (thale cress)
Lineage: Eukaryota; Viridiplantae; Streptophyta; Magnoliopsida; Brassicales; Brassicaceae
Description: ATSL215400
Source: RNAcentral
UUUUUAUAUAUCAACU